GACGAACGCUGGCGGCGUGCUUAACACAUGCAAGUCGAACGAUGAAGCCUAGCUUGCUAGGUGGAUUAGUGGCGAACGGGUGAGUAAUACGUGAGUGACCUACCUUUGACUCUGGGAUAAGCCUGGGAAACUGGGUCUAAUACCGGAUACGACCAAUCUCUGCAUGGGGUGUUGGUGGAAAGCGUUAUGGAGUGGUUUUAGAUGGGCUCACGGCCUAUCAGCUUGUUGGUGAGGUAAUGGCUUACCAAGGCGACGACGGGUAGCCGGCCUGAGAGGGUGACCGGCCACACUGGGACUGAGACACGGCCCAGACUCCUACGGGAGGCAGCAGUGGGGAAUAUUGCACAAUGGGCGCAAGCCUGAUGCAGCGACGCCGCGUGAGGGAUGACGGCCUUCGGGUUGUAAACCUCUGUUAGCAUCGAAGAAGCGAAAGUGACGGUAGGUGCAGAGAAAGCGCCGGCUAACUACGUGCCAGCAGCCGCGGUAAUACGUAGGGCGCGAGCGUUGUCCGGAAUUAUUGGGCGUAAAGAGCUUGUAGGGCGGUUGGUCGCGUCUGCUGUGAAAGGCCGGGGCUUAACUCCGGUUUUGCAGUGGGUACGGGCUAACUAGAGUGCAGUAGGGGAGACUGGAAUUCCUGGUGUAGCGGUGGAAUGCACAGAUAUCAGGAGGAACACCGAUGGCGAAGGCAGGUCUCUGGGCUGUAACUGACGCUGAGAAGCGAAAGCAUGGGGAGCGAACAGGAUUAGAUACCCUGGUAGUCCAUGCCGUAAACGUUGGGCACUAGGUGUGGGGGACAUUCCACGUUUUCCGCGCCGUAGCUAACGCAUUAAGUGCCCCGCCUGGGGAGUACGGCCGCAAGGCUAAAACUCAAAGGAAUUGACGGGGGCCCGCACAAGCGGCGGAGCAUGCGGAUUAAUUCGAUGCAACGCGAAGAACCUUACCAAGGCUUGACAUGCAUUAGAUCGCGUCAGAGAUGGCGUUUCCCUUCGGGGCUGGUGUACAGGUGGUGCAUGGUUGUCGUCAGCUCGUGUCGUGAGAUGUUGGGUUAAGUCCCGCAACGAGCGCAACCCUCGUUCUAUGUUGCCAGCGGUUCGGCCGGGGACUCAUAGGAGACUGCCGGGGUUAACUCGGAGGAAGGUGGGGAUGACGUCAAAUCAUCAUGCCCCUUAUGUCUUGGGCUUCACGCAUGCUACAAUGGCCGGUACAGAGGGUUGCGAUACUGUGAGGUGGAGCUAAUCCCUUAAAGCCGGUCUCAGUUCGGAUUGGGGUCUGCAACUCGACCCCAUGAAGUCGGAGUCGCUAGUAAUCGCAGAUCAGCAACGCUGCGGUGAAUACGUUCCCGGGCCU
This 1347-nucleotide ribosomal RNA is filed under the name uncultured bacterium. RNAcentral's name for it is "bacterial SSU rRNA". It matches the Rfam family "Bacterial small subunit ribosomal RNA", at positions 28 to 1381 of the family's 1533-position model. The record is from RNAcentral.